Molecule: long non-coding RNA, 224 nt
Filed under: Citrus sinensis (sweet orange)
Lineage: Eukaryota; Viridiplantae; Streptophyta; Magnoliopsida; Sapindales; Rutaceae
Description: long non-coding RNA (CSIN_LNC005663)
Source: RNAcentral
AUCUUCAAGCCUUGAAUUUCCUCUUUUGAGAGAAUAAAGGCCGUCCUUCAAUAAAGAUUCUUUGUACUUUGGUUGAGGGAAGCAAUUGCUUUUUAAUUGAGAGCCAAACCUCAAGCGAGGUUUGCCCACCAAUUGUCAUACUCAGCACAUCUUAAUUCCUCCAUCAUUCCCCUUAGCCAAGUCAUCAAUAAUCCGUCGUUAUUCAUCCAUUGAAUGAACUCGGG